AAGGUAGCAUAAUCACUUGUCUUUUAAUUAAGGACUGGAAUGAAAGAGGCGACGAGAUUUAGACUAUUUAAUUUUAAGAAUAAAAUUGACAUAAAGGUCAAAAGGCUUUUAUACGCCAAGGGGACGAUAAGACCCUAUAAAACUUUACUUAAAAUAAGAUAUUACUUAGGUUAAUUUCUAAUUAGAGUUUGGCUGGGGCGGUCUAGAUAAAACCAAUUUUAAACUUAAUAUUUAAAAUAAAAACAGAGAGCUCUAUUAAGAAAUGAACAAGUUACUUUAGGGAUAACAGCAUAAUUUUCCUAGAGAGUCCUUAUUGGCAGGAGAGUUUGUGACCUCGAUGUUGAAUUGGGGUGUCUGGUAUAAGUAGAGAUAUAUUAAGAGG
RNAcentral lists this ribosomal RNA (382 nucleotides) under Proasellus ligusticus. RNAcentral describes it as "partial 16S ribosomal RNA". It matches the Rfam family "Bacterial large subunit ribosomal RNA", at positions 1953 to 2572 of the family's 2925-position model. The record is from RNAcentral. Lineage: Eukaryota; Metazoa; Arthropoda; Malacostraca; Isopoda; Asellidae.